This 693-nucleotide ribosomal RNA is filed under the name uncultured bacterium. RNAcentral's name for it is "bacterial SSU rRNA". It matches the Rfam family "Bacterial small subunit ribosomal RNA", at positions 395 to 1078 of the family's 1533-position model. The record is from RNAcentral.
UGCCGCGUGGGUGAUGAAGGCCUUCGGGUCGUAAAGCCCUGUCAACAGGGAAGAAAUCCUGGAUUCAAAUAGGGUUCAGGAUUGACGGUACCUGUGGAGGAAGCACCGGCUAACUCCGUGCCAGCAGCCGCGGUAAAACGGAGAGUGCAAGCGUUGUUCGGAAUUACUGGGCGUAAAGCGCGUGCAGGUGGCUUUUUAAGUUUCGUGUGAAAGCCCACGGCCUAACCGUGGAAUUGCACGGAAAACUGGAAGACUUGAGUACGGGAGAAGAGGGCGGAAUUCCCAGUGUAGAGGUGAAAUUCGUAGAUAUUGGGAGGAACACCGGUGGCGAAAGCGGCUCUCUAGACCGAUACUGACGCUCAUACGCGAAAGCAUGGGUAGCAAACAGGAUUAGAUACCCUGGUAGUCCAUGCUGUAAACGAUGGAUGCUAGAUGUCGCGGGAUUGACCCCUGCAGUGUCGAAGUCAACACAUUAAGCAUCCCGCCUGGGAAGUACGGUCGCAAGACUAAAACUCAAAGGAAUUGACGGGGGCCCGCACAAGCGGUGGAGCAUGUGGUUCAAUUCGACGCAACGCGAAGAACCUUACCUGGACUUGACAUCUGGAGAAUUUUCUAGAAAUAGAGAAGUGCUCGCAAGAGAACUCCAAGACAGGUGCUGCAUGGUGGUCGUCAGCUCGUGUCGUGAGAUGUGGG